Molecule: ribosomal RNA, 398 nt
Filed under: uncultured bacterium
Lineage: Bacteria
Description: bacterial SSU rRNA
Rfam family: Bacterial small subunit ribosomal RNA
Source: RNAcentral
GGAAUAUUGGACAAUGGGCGAAAGCCUGAUCCAGCAAUGCCGCGUGAGUGAUGAAGGCCUUAGGGUUGUAAAGCUCUUUUACCCGAGAUGAUAAUGACAGUAUCGGGAGAAUAAGCUCCGGCUAACUCCGUGCCAGCAGCCGCGGUAAUACGGAGGGAGCUGGCGUUGUUCGGAAUUACUGGGCGUAAAGCGCACGUAGGCGGUUAUUCAAGUCAGAGGUGAAAGCCCAGUGCUCAACACUGGAACUGCCUUUGAAACUAGAUAACUUGAAUCCAGGAGAGGUGAGUGGAAUUCCGAGUGUAGAGGUGAAAUUCGUAGAUAUUCGGAAGAACACCAGUGGCGAAGGCGGCUCACUGGACUGGUAUUGACGCUGAGGUGCGAAAGCGUGGGGAGCAAAC